Lotus japonicus is the source of this 1306-nucleotide long non-coding RNA. RefSeq lists it as uncharacterized. The record is from RefSeq and is a predicted model, not a curated record. The transcript is spliced from 3 exons. Lineage: Eukaryota; Viridiplantae; Streptophyta; Magnoliopsida; Fabales; Fabaceae.
CACCCUACCUUCCCAUCUAAUUCCUUUACAGCUUUUCUGAUUUGAUUUGGGUCACGCCCAAUUAUUUUCUAUAAAUUGAACCAUUGUGUGCCUUGAUGUUCAUCUUGUGUUGUCAAUCCAGUUCCUUCCCUUUCUUUUACUUUGAUUUCUGUUGUUGUGAUUUUGUUGUAUUGAUCUGAAUGGGAGAUAUGAGUGGGCAUGUGAAUCCCAUAAAGAAGCUCUGUCCUUGGGAAAUUUGUCAGUGAAUGAACCAUUGAGUCCAGUGAAUGAAUUUGGGAGUGUAUCGCAGUGAAUGAGUUUUUAUAGCAUCUAAAUAAUUGCAAUGUGAUGCCAAGUUUUUUAUGCUAUUUUUCUAUUGAUGUCUGAUUGAAUGAUGGCAUGAAGGAAAGGUAUGGUGUGUAUUCAAAGCCAGUAAACCAAGAAGAUGUGUGCGGAUUUUUAAUCCUAUAAAUGGAAUGGCUGCAAUUGCUUCAUGGGAUUUGUAUAAGUUGUUGUUUCUCAACCAUUGCGAAGGUCUGCACAAGAGGAAGAUACUGAGUAGUAUUUUAGUUUUCUAAAAGUCUUGACUAAGGGGAACAAUUGGAAGAUGAAAUGUGAAAUGGUGGAAUAGUAAAGGCUGUUGCUGAGGGAUGAUGUAGAAGCCAAGAUUUUUAUGGGAGCUAAGAGUUUGUUGAAGCCCCUUUGCAGUUUUAUAAUCAGCUGUGCAUGAAGGAAAUUUGGUGGCUCAGGAAAUUGGAGAAAUUGCUCUCUUCAACCUUGCUGUGAAUAAGAACAGAUCCUUAAUUAAUGGGUACGUGUUAGAAACAUUUUAAUAAUGGAAACACAAAUGAAUGAAAUGAUGCUGAAGUUGGAAAUCAUUAAGAGGUUGACACAUGGUGGUGAAUGAUAAUUGGGAUUGUGAUGAAGGCAGCUAGGAGUAACCAAACGGCACAGAGGUUGGCUGGGCCGCUGGAAGUGGUACAAGCAGGACUGAUCAGUUCAGUGUGCAAUUUGAUCGAUCUGAAGAAGGUUGUAGAAGUUGUUGCUGCUAUGAUUUUAGACAACAGAUACAAGUCGCAACCCCCUUAUGACCUUUGUAAAUAAGCUGAUGAAUAUUUCCAGAGAUAAAAUGGCAACAUGCUGAAGAAGAUUCAUGGAAGAUAUCUCAAAAAUAGUUAGAAGGGUUAUGCCUCAACUAAUUUUUAGCAAUGUUAGCAAGUGCAAGGGUUAUGUCCAAGCAUGGAAUCGUCUCACUUUCUACUGCUGUAAAAAGAUUUCAUUCUUUAUUGAUUCUAUAUUUAUAUUCCAACAUUAUUUCUUUCUUUCA